AUUGAACGCUGGCGGCAUGCCUUACACAUGCAAGUCGAACGGCAGCACGGGAGCAAUCCUGGUGGCGAGUGGCGAACGGGUGAGUAAUAUAUCGGAACGUGCCCAGUCGUGGGGGAUAACGUAGCGAAAGCUACGCUAAUACCGCAUACGAUCUACGGAUGAAAGCGGGGGAUCGCAAGACCUCGCGCGAUUGGAGCGGCCGAUAUCAGAUUAGCUAGUUGGUGGGGUAAAAGCUCACCAAGGCGACGAUCUGUAGCUGGUCUGAGAGGACGAACCAGCCACACUGGAACUGAGACACGGUCCAGACUCCUACGGGAGGCAGCAGUGGGGAAUUUUGGACAAUGGGCGAAAGCCUGAUCCAGCCAUGCCGCGUGCAGGAUGAAGGCCUUCGGUUGUAAACUGCUUUUGUACGGAACGAAAAGACUCUUUCUAAUAAAGAGGGUCCAUGACGGUACCGUAAGAAUAAGCACCGGCUAACUACGUGCCAGCAGCCG
This 494-nucleotide ribosomal RNA is filed under the name uncultured bacterium. RNAcentral describes it as "bacterial SSU rRNA". It matches the Rfam family "Bacterial small subunit ribosomal RNA", at positions 30 to 517 of the family's 1533-position model. The record is from RNAcentral.